CCUACGGGCGGCAGCAGUGGGGAAUAUUGGGCAAUGGAGGCAAGUCUGACCCAGCAAUGCCGCGUGAAUGAAGAAGGUCUUCGGAUUGUAAAGCUCUUUAAUUAGGGAAGAAAAAAAUGACGGUACCCAAUGAAUACGCCUCCGUUAACGACGUGGCAGCAGCCGCGGUAAUACGUAAGGGGCAAGCGUAGUGCGGAAUGUAUUGGUGUCAAGGUUGUGUAGGUGGGGUUGGAAAGUAGAAGGGGAAUACCUGGGGCUCAACUAUGGAGCUGCUCCUGAAACUGCUAUACUUGAGUGCAGUAGAGGAAAGUGGAAUUCGUGGUGUAGCGGGGGAAUGCGUAGAUAUUAGGAGGAACACCAGUGGCGAAGGCGACUUUCUGGACUGUAACUGACGCUGAGGCACGAAAGUGUGGGGAGCAAACAGGAUUAGAUACCCGGGUAGUC
RNAcentral lists this ribosomal RNA (444 nucleotides) under uncultured bacterium. Its description in RNAcentral is "partial 16S ribosomal RNA". It matches the Rfam family "Bacterial small subunit ribosomal RNA", at positions 338 to 795 of the family's 1533-position model. The record is from RNAcentral.